CCUACGGGUGGCAGCAGUGAGGAAUAUUGGUCAAUGGGCGCGAGCCUGAACCAGCCAAGUAGCGUGAAGGAUGACUGCCCUACGGGUUGUAAACUUCUUUUAUAAAGGAAUAAAGUGAGGCACGUGUGCCUUUUUGUAUGUACUUUAUGAAUAAGGAUCGGCUAACUCCGUGCCAGCAGCCGCGGUAAUACGGAGGAUCCAAGCGUUAUCCGGAUUUAUUGGGUUUAAAGGGAGCGUAGGUGGUUUGGUAAGUCAGUUGUGAAAGUUUGCGGCUCAACCGUAAAAUUGCCAUUGAUACUGGCAGGCUUGAGUACAGUUGAGGUAGGCGGAAUGUGUGGUGUAGCGGUGAAAUGCUUAGAGAUCACGAAGAACACCGAUUGCGAAGGCAGCUUACUAAACUGCCACUGACAUUGAUGCUCGAAAGUGUGGGGAUCAAACAGGAUUAGAUACCCCUGUAGUC
This 460-nucleotide ribosomal RNA is filed under the name uncultured bacterium. Its description in RNAcentral is "partial 16S ribosomal RNA". It matches the Rfam family "Bacterial small subunit ribosomal RNA", at positions 338 to 795 of the family's 1533-position model. The record is from RNAcentral.